This 1695-nucleotide long non-coding RNA is filed under the name Heterocephalus glaber (naked mole-rat). RNAcentral's name for it is "lncRNA (ENSHGLG00100026696.2)". Lineage: Eukaryota; Metazoa; Chordata; Mammalia; Rodentia; Bathyergidae. The record is from RNAcentral.
CGUCUCUAGUCAAGCACUAAGACUUCGGAGUAUGAGUAAGAACUCCACUGAGCCUGCUGGUGUAAUUAAAGGUUUUUCUCCACCUUUUUGAGUGACCUUUGGGUUCUCGAGUCUUCAAACUGAGGUAGCUGGGAUGCUGAGCUGUAACACUCAGCUGUGCCUCAGAGCUGUAACGCUUGGGUAUAGCACCGAGCUUUUCUGCUUUGCCUCAAGUCAGUCUGGACAAGAGUCAAGGUAUUUUUUUGUUUUGUUUUGUUUUGUUUUUGUUUUGUGAUACCGGGGAUCAACUCAGGACCUUGCACUUUUGAGGCAGGUGCGGCACCACUGAGCUAAAUCCUCAGCAAGAGUCCAGGGCAUGAUCAUGCUGGAUGACAUAAAGGAGUGGACAGACAGCUCUGUAAGAAUCUGCAGGAGGGUGGUUCUUGUGUGAAUGUUGUAGAUUUCUGAAAUGGUAAAAAAAAAAAAUACUAAUAUUCUGAAUAAAACAAAGUUCAAUCUUCCUUCUACCCCAAAAAUCUUUCUUGAAAUAUUCAAUAUUUAUUUGGAAUAAGCAAAGAAUACUGUAUGUCUGUAUAUCAGGAGAGUGAGGCUCUGGUUCCAGUUAAUUAUGCAUUGAAUUUGGGAUUGUCUUGUUCAUCAUCACCUAUUUAGAAGCCUUAGCACUUGUCUCAAAAAAGGUCAGUGUACCCCUGCCCCCACCACUUAUGACCACUCCAAACUAUCCCUCCACUCUCUUUAGGGCCAACACUAUCUCCAUUAAGAACCACUGCCUUACAUCCAUCACAAUCCACUAUUAGAACAGGGGGUUUUUUUGGUACCAGGGAAUGGAACUCGGGACCUUGUGUUUUGUGAAGCAGGGGGCCGAACCACUGGGCUAAAUCCCUGGCCCCUAUUAGAACAGUUUUAAAGAGUGAGAAGAUAGAAUCUUCUAUCACACAAUCUUAUAAACCCUUACAUCUGUAUUAUUUGCAUAUCAAUACAUUCUAAGUGCUUUUUGGAAUGCUUUAGGCAUUCUAUUGUAAAGAGCUUUUCUCCUAACUUUGGAAAAACACUCCAGUGUCAAAAUGAAGUCCAAUAAUGUGUCCUAGUAGUGAACAAAGCUGGAAAUAAGAAAGACAAGCCACAGUGAAAGAGAACGUACUGCUUAUGACUAUGAUAAAAAGGAAUGAAACAGCAAGGCACCAUAGUUUUUGCCAUUGCUAGGGUAAAAAGAUGAUUCUGACCACAUGAUCUAGAGGAGUCCGUAUCAAACAUUAAGGCUUGAUUCAAGGACAUAGUGGAGGGAUAAGUAGCAGAGCCAGCACCUAGUUCUGAACCAGCUUGAGUGAUAGAUAGGACUUAAGGCAAUGAGGAUUUGGAAUGGGCAUGCCUCUCCUACAUUUAUGGAAGCUCCCCUGUUUAACUCCUGUGACUCGAAAUCCCUGUUGUCGGCCAAUGUAACUUGAUUCCAGAUGGAUAAUGUGAUAGAUGGGGAGCACAGGUGAUGGGCUCUGAGAAGGAGAAAGUCAUGGGUGUGAUGGGCCUGGAUUUCUAAGUGAUCAAGGUACAGCCUUACCCUCAAUCAUUUAGGGAGAAAAAUCUUGUUAUCAAAUUAAAAAAUUAAAACAUGCACAGUUAUCUAAGGGACUUUCACGCACUACAGUUUGGAGAGUUAAUUGACACAUUGUGGGAAGAUGAUUUGGAAAUGAAAAAAAU